AGAGAGAUGACUGAGUGGCUUAAGGUACUCGCUUGGAAAGCGAGAGGAGGCAUAGCUUCCCGCAGGUUCGAAUCCUGUUCUCUCUG
Molecule: transfer RNA, 86 nt
Filed under: Vibrio phage 2.275.O._10N.286.54.E11
Lineage: Duplodnaviria; Heunggongvirae; Uroviricota; Caudoviricetes
Description: tRNA-Ser
Rfam family: tRNA
About the family: Transfer RNA (tRNA) molecules are approximately 80 nucleotides in length. Their secondary structure includes four short double-helical elements and three loops (D, anti-codon, and T loops).
Source: RNAcentral